GGUUGUGUGAUAGAGGUUCAGUGGAAGUAAAACUUUGAGGUUGUUAGCUAAGGAUCAAGGUGUGGGUUAUUGUGGUUGUUGUUAGUGGAAAGUUAGGAUAUUAAUCAAUUUUUAUUAUUUUAUUUUUAAUUUUCUAAUUUUUUAAUUUUUCUCUCUCUUCCCAAAACUCUUUCUGACGUUAGUUUUGUUUUUCUCCUCUUCCCGGUGAUUUCUUUGUUUCCUCUCUGUCAAAUAUCUCUCUUUCUACUCCUCCGAAGUUCUACCAUAAUUUUUCCUGUUCAGUUUCGGUGUUUCAAAUUUUUGGUUUUCCGUGCAGUUCUGUAAGUUUGGGUAAGUAUGGUUUUAUGAUUUCUUUUACUUUUUGUUAAUGGGGAUUCUUGUUAAUUCUCGUCAGCUCUUAUCUAGGGGAUAGUCAAGGCGUAAUUGGUGCUUCUCCAGCGAAUUGAGUGUGGGGUGCUUUCGGCCCGUUGUCGGUAAGUGGAAAAAUGUGUUAAAUGUUAUUGUGAGGUUUCGUUUUGGAUAAUUAAUGUUUGAAUUUCGUGAAUGCUUACUGAAGUUGGGCAUUGGAAUGUUGAU
This 576-nucleotide long non-coding RNA is filed under the name Gossypium raimondii (Peruvian cotton). RNAcentral's name for it is "long non-coding RNA (GRAI_LNC005637)". Lineage: Eukaryota; Viridiplantae; Streptophyta; Magnoliopsida; Malvales; Malvaceae. The record is from RNAcentral.